GAUGAACGCUGGCGGCGUGCCUAAUACAUGCAAGUCGAGCGAACAGAUGAGGAGCUUGCUCCUCUGACGUUAGCGGCGGACGGGUGAGUAACACGUGGAUAACCUACCUAUAAGACUGGGAUAACUUCGGGAAACCGGAGCUAAUACCGGAUAAUAUAUUGAACCGCAUGGUUCAAUAGUGAAAGACGGUUUUGCUGUCACUUAUAGAUGGAUCCGCGCCGCAUUAGCUAGUUGGUAAGGUAACGGCUUACCAAGGCAACGAUGCGUAGCCGACCUGAGAGGGUGACCGCCCACACUGAAACUGAGCCAGGGUCAAGCCUCCGCCGGGAGGAAGAAGUGGGGAUUCUUCCGAAAUGGGCGAAAGCCUGACGGAGCAACGCCGCGGGAGUGAUGAAGGUCUUCGGAUCGAAAACCGUUUUUAUUGGGGAAAAACAAAGGUUUAAGUAAUUAUGCACUUCUGGACGUUACCUAAUCAGAAAGCCACGGAAAACUCCGUC
Molecule: ribosomal RNA, 497 nt
Filed under: uncultured bacterium
Lineage: Bacteria
Description: partial 16S ribosomal RNA
Rfam family: Bacterial small subunit ribosomal RNA
Source: RNAcentral